Molecule: long non-coding RNA, 3549 nt
Organism: Piliocolobus tephrosceles (Ugandan red Colobus)
Lineage: Eukaryota; Metazoa; Chordata; Mammalia; Primates; Cercopithecidae
Exons: 2
Source: RefSeq, a predicted model, not a curated record
UCGGGGGCUGGGGCCAAACUUGGGGGACUGUGGACUGCAGGGGCUUUCCAUCUGCCCAACCAUCGCCCCCGCUGAGUUCCCCGAUGCAAACAUCACCCCCAAUGAGUUCCCCAUGCAAAUAUCGCCCCCGCUGAGUUCCCCGCUGUGGCUCUUUUAUGCUGGGUCCUCUUCCUGCAGCUGCAGCUUGCUCUGCAGAACAGGAGAGUUUUUAAAGGGGCCUCUGUGCACACCUAGGCUCUCCUGCCUCACCCCUGAUGCCCGCAUUUGGCCACCAGACUCAGACCAGCCCAGAAUGGGGAUAGAAGUGGCCCAAAAGUGACUGUAAUGGCUGUGAUCUAGAGAUCAUGCAUUCAGACAUGGAAGUCAGCUGAUACUGUGGCUGAAUAUUCCUGUGCAAGGUUCUUCAGCUUUCUGGGCAUGGAUGUCGGCAUGUGGAAAAUGACAAAUGGUAUGAACACAGAUGAAAUGAGCAGAUUCUACAAGGAACCCUGUCCUUGCACAUGCUAAGCACCGAGGGCAGGUUUCCUAUUUGAGUUGUGAGCCCUGCUGCCCUCCUUGAAGUCAGCAAAUGCCAGGCCCACCCUGAGGAGAGCUGGAACUCUGAGCCCAGGCCGUGGCCUCUUCAUGGCCCUGGGGGUGCUGUGAGGGGGUGGAAAUGAAAGCAAGACCCACCAUCAGGACUCAGGCGUGUUUUUCAGACCCACAGAGGAUGAUUUUUCUCUCCAUCACCUGCCUACUCUGCUUUACUGACGCCAACAGCCCCCUCAGAAAUGAGAUUCAGGAGUUAACAUACCCCAGGUCUCACCUCGAAGGGGAGGAUCGGAGCCUCAAGAGGCCAAGGAAGGAAGUCAAGAUAGUCAAGUGGGUCAUCUGAGAUCUGUUCUUGCUUGAGCUAUUGUAAAUGCCUCUCACGGAGACGCGAGGACCUGUCUAUUAUAAUGACCAAGCCUACAUCCAGGGGGUGGGGCAACAGACUUUCAUCUAUCAGCCCUUUUCAACCAUUGAUCUACUAAACUGGAAGCACCCGAACCUGCCACCUUGCUCCCAGCAGCUAAAGCCCUGUAGAGCAUGACUGUGUAGAGGUGUUGGACUCAAGUUUACUCUAGCAGACCUGACCUCCAGGACCAGCCUUGGGCAUCAGUAGACUAGGAGCUAUACGUGGAUGGGAACAGCUUCAUCAACCCACAAGGAGAGAGAUGUGCAGAAUAUGAGGUGGUAACCCUGGACACUGUCGUUAAGCUGAGCUCGAUGCUUUAAUUCGGGCCUUAGAACUCAGUAAAGGUAAGACCGUAAACAUUUACACUGACUCUUGGUAUGCCUGUUUAACCCUCCAAGUAAAUGAAAAAUUAUAUAAAGAGAAGAGCCUGUUAAACUCUAGGAAAAAGGGGAAAAAAGACCCAGAGAAUGCAACUCAGCUUCAGCGUUUGCAGAGGUACUGAGAAGCACUUCUGCAGAGGCUAAGAGUUAGUAGAAAAAAAGCAAGUAAUAUAAAAAAGAUUUCAGGAAUGCUUCAAGGAGCUGACAAGAGCCUAAGUCAGUUUUAUAAAAGACUAUAAAGCAUUCUGGUUUUACACGCCAUUUAACCCUGAGGCUGCUGAAAAUCAGUAUAUAGUGAAUACUUCAUUUGUAAAGCAAGCCCAGGUUAACAUCAAGCAGAAGCUGCAGGCAUGAAUACCAUCUGCCACCAAGGUGUAUGUUAAGUGUGACCAAGGAACAAAACUAGGAAAGAGCAAAAGAAAAAGAAAGACUAACAGUUAGUAUAAAAAAAGAGAGAUUAACAAUGUGAGAGGACGUGGACGUGGAUGUAAAUGUGAAAGAAGUAGAGUUAGGCAAGGAUUCCAGAACCAGACAAGGCUAGAGAGAGAUUAAUGUGUGAGAUGCAAAAAGAAAGGACACUAGAAGGAUAAAUGUUCAAAAGGCAAUAAAGGAAAUGGCCAAGGCCACAAGACAAAGAGGCCAUCGGCCAAGGUCUGUGGCACCUUGGAGGAACCAAAUACUCAUCUGAUCAGGCUGACAGGAGCUGAAGAAUGUAAAGACUAGGGCAGACUAGGUUCCCAGGAGCCCAUGGUCACAUUAGAAGUUAAAAGUAGCAAGAUUCUGCUGUAUCUGGAUUCCAAUUACUCACUGAAGGCUAAGUCACUAAAUAGAGUUACAAAGGGAGGCAGUGGGGGGAGAAGAGCCCCUCCUCUAAGAAACUUAAACAGGAAAAAUAGCCAUACCUUGUGAAAACCUGCUUAUAGACUUUAUAGAACUGCCCAGUGCUGGAGGCUAUCGGUACAGGCUAGUGCUUGUUUGCACCUUUUCAGGAUAAAGUUUUCCCCACCAGGACAGAAAAAGUACAAGAAGUGACUAAAGUACUGUUAAAAGACAUUAUCCCCAGGUUUAGACUACCUCUAACUUUAAAGUCAGACAAUAGGCCAGCAUUUGUAGCUGAAAUAGUGCAAGAUUUAACAAGACUGUUAAAGAUAAAAUAGAAGUUACACACAACUUAUCGGCCACAAAGUUCAAGAAAAGGUGGAACGCAUGAACUGGACACUCAAGCAGCUACUGAAGAAAUAUUGCCAGGAAAUUCGUUUAAGAUAAAAUCAGGAUUUUGCCUACGGUCCUCCUCCAAGUCAGGUGCACUCCCACCAAACAAACUAGGUAUUUGCCCUAUAAGAUUUUGUUUGGUCAGCCACCCCCAAAUCAUAAGUCAAAUUAAAGGUGACCUCCAGAAACUAAAGGAAUUAACCUUAAAAAAGCAAAUGCAGGCUUUAAAAAUAGCCACAUGAAGUGUUCAUGAUUAAAUAAAUAAAAAGGCCUGUAAGUCUGAUAUCCCUUUAAAUCUAGUGACUCUGUUUAAAGUAAAAUCUAAUUUUUCUAGGACCCAUAUAGGACGGGCCCUCUACUGUAACCUUGUCCACUCCCACUGCUGUUAAAGUUGCAGGUGUUGUGUCUUGGAUCCCCUCAGUCAGCUAACACCGGCAGCUGAGGACAAGUGGAGCAGCCAGCAGGACACAGAUCAUCCAACCCGGCUGAUCCUGGGACGAGACCAAGCUGCUGCUGAGGAUGACAGCCCUGCUCUGGUCACUCCGGAUAUUGACCAGUCUACACACGGCUGAAGCUUGAGGAGACAACAAGCCCUGCUCUAGUCACAUACCGGCAGCUGACUAGUCUACGCAUGGCCAAAGCUUAAGGACUCAUCGAGCAAGUAAAUGUAGUUAAAAAUCUUAAGAUGAAUAGUUUUCCUGUAAUACUGUUUUCCUAUUGUUCUGUCGCGGUAUUCAACCUUUUUCCCAGGUAAGGACCUCUUUUGUCCUUGCUGGAUAUGAAUAUGCUGUAUAUUAUUUUGUUCUUGUUAACCCCGCAUAACCAUGCUAGAAGAAACACCUAUAUAAGGUGUUCCCACUGUACACAUACUACUUAGGAAACCCAGACCCAUCCAGCCCAGCAACAAUUCCAAGUCUUUCAGUCAUUCUUUAAACAUAUAAACCAGAAGUUACCAGAACCUCCUUCUUUAGCAAAAAAAAAAAAAGAAAGAAAAGAAAAGACAAAACCUAUAUGCUCAGU